GGCAACUUGGUAUAGUGGUUUGAGUGUUGGACUAUGAAUCUGGAGACCAGGGUUCAAAUCCCAUCGGCCA
RNAcentral lists this transfer RNA (70 nucleotides) under Phrynosoma platyrhinos (Desert horned lizard). RNAcentral describes it as "tRNA-OTHER". Lineage: Eukaryota; Metazoa; Chordata; Lepidosauria; Squamata; Phrynosomatidae. The record is from RNAcentral.